Molecule: ribosomal RNA, 254 nt
Filed under: uncultured bacterium
Lineage: Bacteria
Description: partial 16S ribosomal RNA
Rfam family: Bacterial small subunit ribosomal RNA
Source: RNAcentral
CACGUAGGGGGCGAGCGUUGUCCGGAUUCAUUGGGCGUAAAGAGCUCGUAGGCGGCUCAGCAAGUCGGGUGUGAAACCUCCAGGCUCAACCUGGAGACGCCACUCGAUACUGCUGUGGCUAGAGUCCAGUAGGGGAGCGUGGAAUUCCUGGUGUAGCGGUGAAAUGCGCAGAUAUCGGGAGGAACACCGGUGGCGAAGGCGGUUCUCUGGGCCUGACCUGACGCUGAGGAGCGAAAGCGUGGGGAGCGAACAGG